Molecule: ribosomal RNA, 864 nt
Filed under: uncultured archaeon
Lineage: Archaea
Description: bacterial SSU rRNA
Rfam family: Archaeal small subunit ribosomal RNA
Source: RNAcentral
UGAUACUAAGCCAUGCGAGUCAUUGUAGCAAUACAAGGCAUACGGCUCAGUAACGCGUAGUCAACCUAACCUAUGGACGGGAAUAACCUCGGGAAACUGAGAAUAAUGCCCGAUAGAACAUUAUGCCUGGAAUGGUUUAUGUUCCAAAUGAUUUAUCGCCGUAGGAUGGGACUGCGGCCUAUCAGUUUGUUGGUGAGGUAAUGGCCCACCAAGACUAUUACAGGUACGGGCUCUGAGAGGAGUAGCCCGGAGAUGGGUACUGAGACACGGACCCAGGCCCUAUGGGGCGCAGCAGGCGAGAAAACUUUGCAAUGUGCGAAAGCACGACAAGGUUAAUCCGAGUGGUUUCUGCUAAAGGAACCUUUUGUCAGUCCUAGAAACACUGAUGAAUAAGGGGUGGGCAAGUUCUGGUGUCAGCCGCCGCGGUAAAACCAGCACCUCAAGUGGUCAGGAUGAUUAUUGGGCCUAAAGCAUCCGUAGCCGGCUCUGUAAGUUUUCGGUUAAAUCUGUACGCUCAACGUACAGGCUGCCGGGAAUACUGCAAAGCUAGGGAGUGGGAGAGGUAGACGGUACUCGGUAGGAAGGGGUAAAAUCCUUUGAUCUAUUGAUGACCACCUGUGGCGAAGGCGGUCUACCAGAACACGUCCGACGGUGAGGGAUGAAAGCUGGGGGAGCAAACCGGAUUAGAUACCCGGGUAGUCCCAGCUGUAAACCAUGCAAACUCAGUGAUGCAUUGGCUUGUGGCCAAUGCAGUGCUGCAGGGAAGCCGUUAAGUUUGCCGCCUGGGAAGUACGUACGCAAGUAUGAAACUUAAAGGAAUUGGCGGGGAAGCACCACAAGGGGUGAAGCCUGCGGUUCAAUUGG